AGACAAGUUGUUGAUAUACUAACGAGAUUUACACCUGCUCCGGGGUAGAUGAUACACUCGAUAGACUCCAUAGUUAAAUAUAAAGAGAACAUCAGAAUUAUAACUGUUGCAACCGAAUAAAAAAAUUUCCAACCUGUAUUUGAUGUCUAUGUUACCCGCUCUUCAUUUUCCAACCUGUAUUUGAUGUCUAUGUUACCCGCUCUUCAUUUUGUCGGAUGUACCAGUGUCAGGUACUCGACACUUGAACGUGGACAUUCCAAACACUUAUUAUAAGCCAAA
This 279-nucleotide long non-coding RNA is filed under the name Daucus carota (carrot). RNAcentral's name for it is "long non-coding RNA (DCAR_LNC006300)". Lineage: Eukaryota; Viridiplantae; Streptophyta; Magnoliopsida; Apiales; Apiaceae. The record is from RNAcentral.